Molecule: ribosomal RNA, 163 nt
Filed under: Stereum rugosum
Lineage: Eukaryota; Fungi; Basidiomycota; Agaricomycetes; Russulales; Stereaceae
Also listed under: 4 other names
Description: 5.8S ribosomal RNA
Rfam family: 5.8S ribosomal RNA
About the family: 5.8S ribosomal RNA (5.8S rRNA) is a component of the large subunit of the eukaryotic ribosome. It is transcribed by RNA polymerase I as part of the 45S precursor that also contains 18S and 28S rRNA.
Source: RNAcentral
CAACUUUCAACAACGGAUCUCUUGGCUCUCGCAUCGAUGAAGAACGCAGCGAAAUGCGAUAAGUAAUGUGAAUUGCAGAAUUCAGUGAAUCAUCGAAUCUUUGAACGCACCUUGCGCCCUUUGGUAUUCCGAAGGGCACACCUGUUUGAGUGUCGUGAAAUUC